GAAGCGGCAACAGCUCAAAUUUGAAAUCUGGCACAAGCCCGAGUUGUAAUUUGUAGAGGAUGCUUCUGGGCAGCGGCCGGUCUAUGUUUCUUGGAACAGGACGUCACAGAGGGUGAGAAUCCCGUACGCGACCGGCUUGCACCCUCCACGUAGCUCCUUCGACGAGUCGAGUUGUUUGGGAAUGCAGCUCCAAAUGGGUGGUAAAUUCCAUCUAAAGCUAAAUACCGGCCAGAGACCGAUAGCGCACAAGUAGAGUGAUCGAAAGAUGAAAAGCACUUUGGAAAGAGAGUUAAAAAGCACGUGAAAUUGUUGAAAGGGAAGCGCUUGCUACCAGACCUGUCGGCGACGUUCAGCCGGUCUUCUGACCGGUCCACUCGUCGCCCGCAGGCCAGCAUCGUCCGGGGCCGCCGGAGAAAGGUGUCGGGAAUGUAACUCCCCCGGGAGUGUUAUAGCCCUUCGCACAAUACGGCGCGCCCCGGGCGAGGUCCGCGCUUAGGCCAGGAUGCUGGCGUAAUGGUCGCAAGCGGCCCGUCUUGAAACACGGACCAAGGAGUCUAACAUCUGUGCGAGUGUUCGGGUGUCAAACCCCUGCGCGUAAUGAAAGUGAACGGAGGUGGGAGCUCACGCGCACCAUCGACCGAUCCUGAUGUCCUCGGAUGGAUUUGAGUAGGAGCACAGCUGUUGGGACCCGAAAGAUGGU
This 700-nucleotide ribosomal RNA is filed under the name Mucomycosphaerella eurypotami. RNAcentral's name for it is "eukaryotic LSU rRNA". It matches the Rfam family "Eukaryotic large subunit ribosomal RNA", at positions 95 to 827 of the family's 3401-position model. The record is from RNAcentral. Lineage: Eukaryota; Fungi; Ascomycota; Dothideomycetes; Capnodiales.